This 520-nucleotide ribosomal RNA is filed under the name uncultured Acaulospora. Its description in RNAcentral is "SSU rRNA". It matches the Rfam family "Eukaryotic small subunit ribosomal RNA", at positions 569 to 1085 of the family's 1831-position model. Lineage: Eukaryota; Fungi; Glomeromycota; Glomeromycetes; Diversisporales; Acaulosporaceae. The record is from RNAcentral.
AGCAGCCGCGGUAAUUCCAGCUCCAAUAGCGUAUAUUAAAGUUGUUGCAGUUAAAAAGCUCGUAGUUGAAUUUCGGGGUUCAUCCGUUGGUCGGGCUUUUUGGUCUGUACUGGCGUGAUGGAUUCCUACCUUCUGAAUAACCAGCAUGUCAUUAAUUUGGUGCGCUGGGGAAGCAGGACUGUUACCUUGAAAAAAUUAGAGUGCUUAAAGCAGGCUAUCGCCUGAAUACAUUAGCAUGGAAUAAUGAAAUAGGACGGCAUGGUUCUAUUUUGUUGGUUUCUAGGAUCACCGUAAUGAUUAAUAGGGAUAGUUGGGGCAUUAGUAUUCAAUUGUCAGAGGUGAAAUUCUUGGAUUUAUUGAAGACUAACUUCUGCGAAAGCAUUUGCCAAGGAUGUUUUCAUUAAUCAAAGAACGAAAGUUAGGGGAUCGAAAGACGAUCAGAUACCGUCGUAGUCUUAACCAUAAACUAUGCCGACCAGGGAUCGGACGAUGUUAAUUUUUAAUUGUACUUCGUUCGGCG